UGGGGAAUAUUGGACAAUGGGCGCAAGCCUGAUCCAGCAAUGCCGCGUGGGUGAAGACGGCCUGCGGGUUGUAAAGCCCUUUAGGCGGGGAGGAACGACCGGACGCGAACACCGUCUGGAAGUGACGUUACCCGCGGAAUAAGCACCGGCUAACUCCGUGCCAGCAGCCGCGGUAAUACGGAGGGUGCGAGCGUUAAUCGGAAUUACUGGGCGUAAAGCGUGCGUAGGCGGUUUGGUCAGUCAGCCGUGAAAGCCCCGGGCUCAACCUGGGAACGGCGGUUGAGACGGCCAAACUCGAGUGGGCUAGAGGAUCGUGGAAUUCCGGGUGUAGCGGUGAAAUGCGUAGAGAUCCGGAGGAACACCGAUGGCGAAGGCAGCGGUCUGGGGCCACACUGACGCUGAGGCACGACAGCGUGGGGAGCAAACAGG
RNAcentral lists this ribosomal RNA (429 nucleotides) under uncultured bacterium. RNAcentral describes it as "bacterial SSU rRNA". It matches the Rfam family "Bacterial small subunit ribosomal RNA", at positions 355 to 776 of the family's 1533-position model. The record is from RNAcentral.